RNAcentral lists this unclassified non-coding RNA (310 nucleotides) under uncultured Aspergillus. RNAcentral's name for it is "sequence contains ITS1". The stretch from base 1 to 105 matches the Rfam family "5.8S ribosomal RNA", at positions 50 to 154 of the family's 154-position model. Lineage: Eukaryota; Fungi; Ascomycota; Eurotiomycetes; Eurotiales; Aspergillaceae. The record is from RNAcentral.
GAAAUGCGAUAAGUAAUGUGAAUUGCAGAAUUCCGUGAAUCAUCGAAUCUUUGAACGCACAUUGCGCCCUCUGGUAUUCCGGGGGGCAUGCCUGUCCGAGCGUCAUUGCACACCCUCAAGCGCGGCUUGUGUGUUGGGCCUUCGCGUCCCCCGUGGACGGGCCCGAAAGGCAGUGGCGGCACCAUGUCUGGUCCUCGAGCGUAUGGGGCUUUGUCACCCGCUCCCGUAGGUCCAGCUGGCAGCUAGCCUCGCAACCAAUCUUUUUAACCAGGUUGACCUCGGAUCAGGUAGGGAUACCCGCUGAACUUAA